CCUACGGGAGGCAGCAGUGGGGAAUAUUGCACAAUGGGGGAAACCCUGAUGCAGCGACGCCGCGUGAGUGAAGAAGUAUUUCGGUAUGUAAAGCUCUAUCAGCAGGGAAGAAAAUGACGGUACCUGACUAAGAAGCCCCGGCUAACUACGUGCCAGCAGCCGCGGUAAUACGUAGGGGGCAAGCGUUAUCCGGAUUUACUGGGUGUAAAGGGAGCGUAGACGGCAGUACAAGUCUGGAGUGAAAUGGCGGGGCUUAACCCCGGGCCUGCUUUGGAAACUGUGCAGCUGGAGUGCAGGAGAGGUAAGUGGAAUUCCUAGUGUAGCGGUGAAAUGCGUAGAUAUUAGGAGGAACACCAGUGGCGAAGGCGGCUUACUGGACUGUAACUGACGUUGAGGCUCGAAAGCGUGGGGAGCAAACAGGAUUAGAUACCCCUGUAGUC
This 440-nucleotide ribosomal RNA is filed under the name uncultured bacterium. RNAcentral describes it as "partial 16S ribosomal RNA". It matches the Rfam family "Bacterial small subunit ribosomal RNA", at positions 338 to 795 of the family's 1533-position model. The record is from RNAcentral.